RNAcentral lists this ribosomal RNA (461 nucleotides) under uncultured bacterium. RNAcentral describes it as "partial 16S ribosomal RNA". It matches the Rfam family "Bacterial small subunit ribosomal RNA", at positions 338 to 791 of the family's 1533-position model. The record is from RNAcentral.
CCUACGGGAGGCAGCAGUGGGGAAUAUUGCGCAAUGGGCGAAAGCCCGACGCAGCGACGCCGCGUGAGGGAUGAAGGUCUUCGGAUCGUAAACCUCUGUCAGCAGGGAAGAACGGUCACUGUGCAAAUCAGCAGUGAAUUGACGGUACCUGCAAAGGAAGCACCGGCUAACUCCGUGCCAGCAGAUGCGGUAAUACGGAGGGUGCGAGCGUUAAUCGGAAUGACUGGGCGAAAAGCGCUCGUAGGCGGUAUGUCAAGUCAAUGGUUAAAUCCCCGCGCUCAACGUGGGAACUGCCUUUGAAACUGGCAAACUGGAGUGUGUGAGAGGAUAGUGGAAUUCCAGGUGUAGGAGUGAAAUCCGUAGAUAUCUGGAGGAACAUCAGUGGCGAAGGCGACUAUCUGGCACAUAACUGACGCUGAGGAGCGAAAGCGUGGGUAGCAAACAGGAUUAGAUACCCAGUC